Molecule: long non-coding RNA, 1083 nt
Filed under: Castor canadensis (American beaver)
Lineage: Eukaryota; Metazoa; Chordata; Mammalia; Rodentia; Castoridae
Description: lncRNA (ENSCCNG00000022738.1)
Source: RNAcentral
GACAUAGAGAACAAUGUCUAUGUUUGCAUUUUCAGAGCUGAAUUCGGAAGCCUGCUUUGAAAUGAAGCUGGAGGGUGACGGUCCCAAAGGCUCAGUUGACCACACACCUGGGUUUCAACAUGGCCUCACUGAUGCCACAAAUGUCCUGAAAUGGAAGAUCCUGAAGAGAAAACUACUGUUGAGGAGGUGCCGAAUAGUAUGCAGAUUCCCUGAACUAGGACAAACAGAGCUGAAUUCAGGCGCCUGCUCUGAAAUGAAGCUGGAGGGUGAUGCUGCUGAAGGCUCAGGUGACCACACACCGGAGUUUCAACAGGGCCUCAUUGAUGCCACAAACAUCCUUAAAUGGAAGCUCUUGAAGACAAAAUUACUGUUGAGCAGGUGCCAAAUAGGAUGCAGAUUCCCUGAACUGGGACAAAGAGGUUUGUCCUGUAUAACAGCUCCUGUAAUCUCUGAGUGUUCGUACCUUGAAUUUCCAUGGGCUGCCACCUUGUCUGGACGUCCGUCUCCAUCUCUUGUUUGUACUGUGAACUGUGUUCCUACCCAGCGCUGGUGUCCCAACAUUUUAAAUGUCAUAAAGCUGAAUUUGAAUGCUUUCUUUGGAAUGAAACAACCUCCCAAGAUAGAAGGUGAUGUUCCGGAAGACUCAGUUGACCACGCAUGUGGGAUUAACCAUGGCUUCAUUGAUGCCCCAAAUGUCCUGAAGCAGAAGGUUAUCAAAAGAAUACUAUUGCUCAGCAAGCGCAGAAUAGAGUGCAGAUUCCCUGGAUCAACAUACAGAGGUGUGUUCUGUCCAACAAGUGAUGUAAUCCCUAUCUAUCCUUACCUUGGAUUUCUGAGGCCUGCUACCCUGUCUGGUCCUCCAUCUACAUCUCCUGUUUGCAUUCUGAAUGCUGCUCCUCCCCAGUGCUGUCGUCCUCAUACUUUAAGUGUUACAGGUAAGCCCAACCCAUGUUAUUUCCAUGUUAUGGAGAGCAUUAUUUGAGGUCCUUAGUACAUACAGUUUCCCAUAAUCCCAUACUUUCUUGGGUUUUCAUCUGUCUUCCCAGUUCCACUACCUCUUUCUUCUGGGUCCAUGGCCUUUCA